AACGAACGCUGGCGGCAUGCCUAACACAUGCAAGUCGAACGAGACCUUCGGGUCUAGUGGCGCACGGGUGCGUAACGCGUGGGAACCUGCCCUUAGGUUCGGAGUAACUCCCCGAAAGGGGUGCUAAUACCGGAUAAUGUCUUCGGACCAAAGAUUUAUCGCCUUUGGAUGGGCCCGCGUUGGAUUAGCUAGUUGGUAGGGUAAAAGCCUACCAAGGCGACGAUCCAUAGCUGGUCUGAGAGGAUGAUCAGCCACACUGGGACUGAGACACGGCCCAGACUCCUACGGGAGGCAGCAGUGGGGAAUAUUGGACAAUGGACGAAAGCCUGAUCCAGCAAUGCCGCGUGAGUGAUGAAGGCCUUAGGGUUGUAAAGCUCUUUUACCCGGGAUGAUAAUGACAGUACCGGGAGAAUAAGCGCCGGCUAACUCCGUG
This 433-nucleotide ribosomal RNA is filed under the name uncultured bacterium. RNAcentral describes it as "partial 16S ribosomal RNA". It matches the Rfam family "Bacterial small subunit ribosomal RNA", at positions 29 to 507 of the family's 1533-position model. The record is from RNAcentral.